This 300-nucleotide long non-coding RNA is filed under the name Salvia miltiorrhiza (redroot sage). Its description in RNAcentral is "long non-coding RNA (SMIL_LNC001678)". The record is from RNAcentral. Lineage: Eukaryota; Viridiplantae; Streptophyta; Magnoliopsida; Lamiales; Lamiaceae.
AAUAUUUCAUUAAAAUUAUAGUAUUAAUUAAACUAAAAUAUAGGAUUUUAAAAUUUAAAACAUUACAAUAAUUAAAAAUUAGGUAAAAAAAACUAAAAGAAUAAAAAAAUUUAGAAUUUUAAAAGUAAAAAAAAAUAAAAAAUAAAAAUCAAAACUAAAAAACAAAAAUAAAAAAACCCUACCCAAAUCCCCCUGCUCCCAUUUCCUUUCCUUUUCUCUUUCUUCUCUUUCCUCCCCACCGCCUAUUCUCAUUUUCUCCUCUUUUUUCUUCUCCCAUUUCUCUGCAAGCCUGCUCUCUUU